UGCCUUGGUGUUACUAAGUAAGCAGAGGUUCCCCGGCGACAAGAGAGGAACAGAAUGAAGGGAACUGUGGUCCAGGGAGAGAGGAUGAUGUGUAAAGGCAACAAAUCUCAAGAUGAUGGCACAUUCAGAGUCAGGGCAAGGUCACUGGAGGCUGUGAUGAGAUCACAGAAGAACUUGUAAUAUAUGGUAGGAGAUAUAAAUCACACUGUUCCUCCUGAAUCCAGUUCCUUGUGCAACCCAAUAAGAACUAAGCUGGGAAUGUGGAAGCCCACAUUCGGAAGACUUCAACUUCAGUGUCAGCAUCCCAGAAAGAGGCUCCUGCAAGCAAUGUGCUAGGAAAGCUUUCUUAUGGAUUCUCCUACCAACAGAAACAAAAAUGUUCCUAUACAAGUAUUUCUGACGGACCUUGACUUCUUUGGAAUGCACACCCUUCUCAAAGAUCCUCUCAAAACAUUUUCUAAAUUCUAAGGCUGCUCAUCUCAUCACCUGAGGCAUCUGAGAGAAGAGGACAUUGUAAAGUUUAAAAGCAGAAGUGAGUUAUUCCUGAACAUGAGGCCAUUUACCCAACCAUUCCUCUUAGACGAGCCCAGUGCACAGCAGACCACGACUGACUCAUCUGCUCCUGCAGUUCACUCAAACCAAAUGAGCUGUCAGGUAAAUUCAUUGUGG
This 669-nucleotide long non-coding RNA is filed under the name Fukomys damarensis (Damara mole-rat). RNAcentral's name for it is "lncRNA (ENSFDAG00000030859.1)". The record is from RNAcentral. Lineage: Eukaryota; Metazoa; Chordata; Mammalia; Rodentia; Bathyergidae.